RNAcentral lists this non-coding RNA (2426 nucleotides) under Pan troglodytes (chimpanzee). The record is from RNAcentral. Lineage: Eukaryota; Metazoa; Chordata; Mammalia; Primates; Hominidae.
GCGCGGGGCUCCUGCGCACCUCCGGCCGGCCUGGCAGACCCGGCGCGCCGAAGCCGGACGAGGGAGACCUCCACCUCCGGCCACCGGCCAGAGGCGCGCCCCCAGCGGCCAGGGCCGCGGGAAAGUCCGCGCGGCGUGCUUCAUUCACGCAUUCACAUUCAUUCAUUUACUCAUUCACUCACUCAUUCAUCGCGGGGCCCCGGAGCAGCCCAGGAGAAGGUGGCAGCACCGCCCUGCAGCAGCUCCGGGGGCACGCCCACCCGGGCCUCCGAGGUGCCUGUGGUCGACACUUGUCCCGGCAGCUACCAAGUGACCUUUCUUAUUUUUGAGACCACGUGUUGCAAUUUUUGGUUCAGGAAAUAGAGUCAUUGUUACUCUGGGGAGGUACAAAAGAAAGAAAUGAUGUUGUCCCUGCCCCCAAGCGCAUCACUAGGGAGAAAGGACUAUCUCAUAAAAAGGAAACUUAAUCAAAUGCUAAAUUGGGCGAUGUGGGCUAUAAAUUAACCAGAGCUAUCCCCACAGGCUCCGUGAGAAAGGCAGCACUUCCAAGGCGGGUAGGAUGAGCCCUGAGAAAGGGACGCCUUACAAAGGUGCAAGCCGCAGAGACGCAGGAGCCAGGGGUAGGAGGUUGUCCUGGGAGACAGCGCGGGACCCUGCAUCACCUUGUUUCGAUGGAGUCCUGCGAUGAGGAGGAAGGGAAAUUGGGAGACACCCUACCCACUUCCCAGGCCACCACUGAAGCUGGGGAGCUUUGCUACAGGGAGGAAGCCAUGUGGAACCUAAACUAAGACACUGGAUACUGAAAAUGGUUUGACAAAGCAGACCCUCACUCAAGGCUUCACGUUGGAAUCUAUCUUCCCACCUGUUUCAGAGUCACAGGGUCUCCAUACCUCUGAAAAAGUUUGCUGACCGCUGGUGACCGUUCAUCACACAGUGGCGUUAUGGUGAAAACUGGAGUUUUCACCUGUGGUCAGUUAUGAUGGGUGCAGCCAGAGAGCAAGGCAUUGGGUGGUGCUUCCUGAGUGGGAGACAAUGAUAAUGAUCAUGAUUAUGCAGAAGGGUGGUGCCUUCUUAUGUUGGAGCUGAACACUCAGAAGAAAGGAAACGGUGGGCUUGGGAGAGUUCAUUGCCAACCUAAGACAAACUUUGAAUGCCCAAGGGCCUCACUGGCAGCUCAGGAGAUUUACAUCUCCUACAGCCACUGGGAAGGAGAAAUCACUGUUGCAAAUCGGCCAGGCACAGUGGCUCACGCCUGUAAUCCCAGCACUUUGGGAGGUCAAGGCAGGGGGAUUACCUGAGGUCAGGAGUUCGAGACCAGCCUGGCCAACAUAGUGAAAAUUAAAAAUUAGCCAUCUCUACUAAAAAUACAAAAAUUAGCCGGCCGUGGCAGCGUGCGCCUAUAAUCCCAGCUACUCGGGAGGCUGAGGCAGGAGAAUCGCUUGAACGCGGGAGGCAGAGGUUGCAGUGAGCGAAAAAGAAAAAAGAAAAUCAGACCUCGAGGCUGGGCGCAGUGGCUCACAUCUGUAAUCCCAGCACUUUGGGAGGCCGAUGGGGGCAGAUCACUUGAGGUCAGGAGUUCGAGACCAGCCUGGCUAACAUGGGCAAAAUCCCCCUCUCUACUAAAAAUACAAAAGCUAGCCAGGCGUGGUAGUGCGUGCUUGUAAUCCCAGCUACUCGGGACGCUGAGGCAGGAGAAUCGCUUGAACCCAGGGGGCGGAGGUUGCAGUGAGUCGAGAUCACGCCACUGCACUCCAGCCUCGGCAACAAAGUGAGACUCCGUCUCAAAAAAAAAGAAAAAAAAGAAAAGAAGACCUCAAAUUUGAUAAGGGUUGAAGGCUACAAAGGAGACUAAAGUCACAGCCUUGACAGGCCUGCUGCAUCAGUCAGGAGCCAGAUAGUGAAUGGUCCUGAGACCAUGGCUAUGGACAAUUGAGUAGAUAAGCUGAGAAUCUCAAACCCCCAAAUUCUCAGAAGCCUCCAAGCCAACAGAAGCAAUUACUUCCUCCUUGCCGGAGAACAGGUUGUUCUUACGGAAUACCUUACCUGUGGUAGGUGUCCUGCAAGUUGUUUGUUCUCAAGACCUGCCCUCACCACUGCUCCUUGAUGCCAACAUCCGGGGCAGGCUUCACCAUAGCUAGAGCAGAGAGGCAUAUGCUCAGCUCUGGUCAGAACUGUCCUAUUCUCCAAAGGAAUUGCAAAGCUAAUGUGUGCCAGCAGGAGCUGAAGGAACACAGGUGACGCUGGUUCUUCACAGUGUGGUGGCGGUGGAGCAUAACGCUAGAUGGGUGGCUGGAGAAGAAUUCAUUGGCACAGGGGCAGUCAUCUGUGAUUUAAAACUCGAUGCUUUGGCAAGGACACCAGGAACUGAUUCCAAUCAUUUGUUGGGCUGACUCCAGUGGUGUGCUAGUUAAUGUGUAACAAUUGGC